CGACGACAGCAAGCUUGAUGGCGAGCUCGACGGCGGCGGAGACGUCUUCUGUACUGCGAGCUCCACCAUGCCUUCACAUACUGUACUGCGAGCUCGACGACGGCGGUGGCGUCUUCUUGGCAGGAGUAGAAAAUUUGGAGUACACAGUGUACCGAGUUCUCUUACUCCGUCAAAUUACUCUUGGCUGUAACUAGAGGAACAUGAUGGCCAUUCCUUACAGAAACAUGGUAACUUCAAAAGAAGAAACAUCAAUCAACUCUUGUACUGCUCUAGUGUGUCACUUGGACAAUUCAAACAGUUAACUGAAAGUGUCUAAAACAGUUAAGUGUUUCUGGGAUUUCUUUUUCUUCAGCAAGGCAUGAUUUCUUCUUUCUUCUUCUUUUUUCUCUAGUGUGUCAUGCCUUUUUUUUAGACUAAAAGUGAAUCAGAGCAAAAAUCUUCUGUGUCAGUGUGCUAGAAAUAAGAAGAAGUUACAAAUUUUCAAUUACAUUCAUAACACUUUGCUCUAACUAAAUUGUUUUGCUCUCAGUUUAAGUUGCAGAUUUGACCUGGAAUGACCAGUCAGUUUAAGUUACAUAUUCUAGUAAUGUGAGCACAAGCACAUUUGUACUGCUCUCAGUUUAAGUUACAGAUCACAUUCACAACACUUAGUUUGGAAAACUUCAAAGCAUCAAUAUCUAUUCCUGCUACCCCUGGUCUUGAUCCAACCAUUGCAAACUCAGGUAAAGUACCCUGCCCCUGCUCCUUCACAUGCUUCCGGUGACUGAAAAUGGGAAUUAACAGCAAUAGUAACUAGCCAAUAUUGUGUUCUCACUGCUCACAAGCAACAGUAACAGCAAGCAUGAAAUACUUUGAAUUUUGACCCUGACAAUGAAUUUCGAUUGUAAUCCAAUUAAACUCUUUGUAUAACCUGUUAAUUUUGAUUGCAAUCAAGCUUUCGCAGGAACAAAUGAACAAUUUACUCUAAUGUGAUCAAGAUUUCGCAGGAACAGAGGCGGAGUACCAGAGGCGUCGCGCGUCGGGGUCGGGGGCGGGAAAAAAAGAAGGCUCAUUCUAGUUUCUACAACAGGUUAUGCUAGUGAAUUCAAACUAUGCUUUGUUUGAUUCAGAUUAUGCAAGUGAAUUCAGUUACUUCACCUCACCUUCACUUCACCAAAUUUCUGACACAGGACACUGAAUGGAGUAUGAUUGACAGACACAGAACACUGUAAAUUUCAGAUAACAUCAGCAGUAGAUCAGCAUUGCAAUUGACAAUUUUAAUACUCCAAUUAACACUGCAAUUGACGCUGAUGGAGUACUUCAUUGACAACUGAAAUUGAUACUGCAAUUGGCACUGUACCUGCAGCCAACAGCAGCAGCAGAGGCAAUCAGUAGUCGAGGUGAUCGAGGGCAGAGGCAAUCAACAGACGAGGGCAGGUGGCAGUGGCAUCAGCAGGUCUGCGUGGUCAUCUCGUCGGCGGGGAAGAUCCGCCUGGCCCUGCCUGCCGAAUUCUUCAAGAGGGGAGCGGCGACCGGGGUCGGCAGCGGCGGCUGGGGUUGCCUCGGGGGUGAAGAACCGGCGAGCAGGGCCAGGGACGCGAGCAGGGCCACGAGGAGGAGGCGCCCGUCGAGGUGGUCGCCUUGGGGGAGCAGCCUCAGCUGGGCGGCGGGGCAGCUCGCCUCCGUGCGGAAGGCCACGUUCGCAGCGGCGGGGCAGCUCGCCUCCGUGUGGACGACCCACGUUCGCAGCGGCGGAGCAACCGCAGGUGGGCGACGGCGCAGGUGGGCGGCGGCGGAGGUGGUCGCCCGAUCUUUCUACGGCGGCUGCUACAUUGUGGAUUCCAAACCUGCUACAUCCUAUAACUCUACUCGAAUAAGAAAACUAAACCAAUCCAGAAAGGAUUCCGAAUUGAAGAUUAUGUCUUCCGUAUCA
Long non-coding RNA from Aegilops tauschii subsp. strangulata, 1912 nucleotides. RefSeq lists it as uncharacterized. The record is from RefSeq and is a predicted model, not a curated record. Lineage: Eukaryota; Viridiplantae; Streptophyta; Magnoliopsida; Poales; Poaceae.